AAACAUUGUCCAAAGGUCAAGUUUCUUUUUUCUUUUAGAGAGAGAGAGAGAGAGAGAGAGAGAGCUCACCAAGAGUCCUCGCCAGAGCCACCGCACGCCAGGACGUUGCCAAGCUCGUCAUCACCAUCAACCGCAGCUCGAGGUAACCGGAAACCGCCAUGUUUUGAGUUAUGAUUCGGUCGUUUUAGUAAAUCGAUCAUAACUUUCUAACCGUAGUUAAUCUCGUGCAUCCAAGGCCAUCAUCGUGUUCCUCUCGUCAAGACGAAGCCGUAGACACCAACCGCGUCGCGAUCGGAGCCCGGACGAAGCCGUACGCGCUUCCGGAAGUUCGCCUCUGCGGCGCGGAGCCCGGACGAAGCCGUACGCGCUUCCGGAAGUUCGCCUCUGCGCGCGCGUGAGUUCCACGCGCCGCCGCCGGACCACCGUCCUCCGCCGCAGCGCCGCCGCCGGACCACCGUCCCCCGCCGCCGGAAUACCGCCGUCGCCGCCGACAACCGCCGCCGGAAUAUCGCCGUCGCCGCCGGUGACCGACACCGGUGACUCGCCGGCGACUCGGUCAACUCGGCCGAGUCAACUCAGUGAGUCAACUCGGUUGACUCGGUUAACCGAUCGGUUAGCCGGUUUAAAUUGAUUUCGGUUCGGUUAGGGUAAACCGGUCGGUUUAGUCAAAUCGAUUUCUGGUCAAAGCUUGACCGGGUUGACUUUGACCAGCGGGUUGACUUUUCCAAAAACCUUGACCAGUUCCGUUUUCGACCGUUCGAAAGGCGUUCUGACUCAGAAUUUCGAUCUGAUUUCAGAUAUGGAGUCUAUUUGAGCAGCUGGAGUUCAUAGACAACACUUUUCUAUUGCUAAGGUGAGGGUCUAUUCCCAAACUCCUCUUAUUCGGCUUAGGACCUCGAAUAAGUAUAANNNNNNNNNNNNNNNNNNNNNNNNNNNNNNNNNNNNNNNNNNNNNNNNNNNNNNNNNNNNNNNNNNNNNNNNNNNNNNNNNNNNNNNNNNNNNNNNNNNNNNNNNNNNNNNNNNNNNNNNNNNNNNNNNNNNNNNNNNNNNNNNNNNNNNNNNNNNNNNNNNNNNNNNNNNNNNNNNNNNNNNNNNNNNNNNNNNNNNNNNNNNNNNNNNNNNNNNNNNNNNNNNNNNNNNNNNNNNNNNNNNNNNNNNNNNNNNNNNNNNNNNNNNNNNNNNNNNNNNNNNNNNNNNNNNNNNNNNNNNNNNNNNNNNNNNNNNNNNNNNNNNNNNNNNNNNNNNNNNNNNNNNNNNNNNNNNNNNNNNNNNNNNNNNNNNNNNNNNNNNNNNNNNNNNNNNNNNNNNNNNNNNNNNNNNNNNNNNNNNNNNNNNNNNNNNNNNNGACUUUUAUCGUUUAUGUUAUUCCUAUUUCAGACUUUCGGUUUAUGUCGUAUUUUAUAUUUCGGAUGUUAUCGAUGUUGGGCUUUUAGGCCUUUUGGUACCGUAUUGACUUUUAUAUUAUGAUAUGAAGAUUAUUAUUAUUUUAUUUCCGCUUUUAUCAAUUUAUUAUAUUUCGAAAGUGGCGGGUGUCACAAUUUAGUGGGUCCAAGUAUCUAAUUUCAUUUGUAUCUAGAGCCGUAAACUGGGCGAGCCCAUGUCCAUUAGUCUAUAUCCAUUUGUCCAUUUAUUAUUUGCGGAUAGAGAGUGACCAUGUCCAUUAAGAACCAUGUCCAUUAAGGACCAUACCCACUAACACCCAUAUUUUCAUGGGCUGUCAUGGGAUUCAUAAUGACCAUAUAAAAAAUUUAAAUUUUAAUUUAUAAGCCUACAAUUAUAUAUACAAGUUCAUAAAAUUAAAAUUCAUCCAUAAAUUCAAAAGUACAACAAUACAUAAGUUCAUAAGUACAACAAUUCCGGUCUUGGCGGAAAAAUCGAUUUUGCGGUUUUGGCGGAAAAACUUAAUUUUGCAGUUUUGACGGGAAACUCGAUUUUGCAGUUUUGGCGGAAAAACUCAUUUUUCGGUUUUGGCGGAAAACUAGAUUUUUUGAUUUUGGCAGAGAAACUCGAUUUUUCGGUUUUGCCAUGGGGUCCAUAAUGGCCAUAUAAGAAAAUUUUAUUUUAUAAGCCUACAAUUACAUAUACAAGUUCAUAAAAUUAAAAUUCAUCCACAAAUUCAUAAGUACAAUAAUACAUAAGUUCAUAAGUACAACAAUUUCGGUUUUGGCGAGAAAAAUCGAUUUUUCGGUUUUGACAGGAAAACUCGAUUUUCCGGUUUUGACGGAAAAAAUUGAUUUUGCAUUUUGAAGAAAAACUCAAUUUUGCGAUUCUGACGGAAAAACUCAAUUUUCUGGUUCUGGCGGGAAAAUUUGAUAUCAAAAUUUAAGCGAAAAAUCGAUUUUACGAUUUUAGCGGAAAAACUUAAAUUUUAGAAACCCUAGGUUUUGUGACCAUUGGACAAUCCACGUCCAUAAAGCCCAAAACCAACAAAGACCAUUUUCUUAAUGGUCUUCCACAUUUUAUCCAAUAAAACCCAAUGGGAAAAAGGGUUUGUCCAUAUUAAACCCGUUUAUAUAUGGACAUGGACAAUCAUUGGACGACCCGCCCAUUUGACACCUCUAUUUGUAUCUUACCCUCAGGUGUGUGCUGCCCCCACUGAUGAAAAUAGGCUUAAUAGUGGCGAUUUGAGAAACGGGAAUAGCUACCCUUAGUAAGUCUUAUCAAUACUCACUGAAGCAUACUCCCUCUAUCCCCUUCCUGAAAUAUGAAUUUUCUACUGUUUUCAUGUUUACAACUAAAUCUGUUAGUUCUCUCUAUUUCACUCUUUCUAAUAACUAUCAAUCAAUAACAUUUAAUUAAUUUAAUAUUUUAAUUAAUAUUUUUUUAAAAAGUUUGCAAUUUAUUAAUAUUAAUUAAUGAAAUGUAUUUUAAAAUUUUAGAAAAUCUAUUUUUAUGGAAAAAAUGAAAGUUUUUGGCAACACAGGGCGUACAAUAUUACAAUAUAUGGAAGAUUAUAUUAUUUUAACUUUGAACUGUUAACCCUUUAGCUGGCCAAAACUCGUAAUCGACGGUCCAUAUGGAGCACCAUCACAAGACUACAAGAACUUCGAAGUUGUUCUACUAGUGGGUCUAGGAAUCGGAGCUACUCCUAUGAUCAGCAUUAUCAAGGACAUAAUCAAUAACUUGAAAGUCAAUACUGGAGAUGAAGAAGAAGGAAGAGGCAGUAACCGGAACCACAACGUGGUCACACCUCCUCCUAUUUCUCCUGCAAGAAAGAGAGAGAUGUUCAUAACCAAGAGAGCAUACUUCCACUGGAGCACAAAAGAGCAAGGAACUUUUGACUGGUUCAAGAACGUGUUGGACGAAGUGGCCGAAGCAGAUGUUAACAACGUUAUAGAGCUGCAUAAUUACUGCAGCAGCAUCUACCAAGAAGGAGACGCGAGGUCCGCACUGAUCACGAUGCUCCAGUCGCUGUACCACGCCAAGAACGGAAGGGACAUUGUGUCGGGAACACGUGUCAUGUCCGAAUUCGCUAGGCCAAAAUGGAGGAGCAUUUACAAAAGGAUCGCUGUGAAGCAUCCCUACACCAGAGUUGGUGAGUUUCUUAGUCAAUCUUAUCUUAUUGCUUCUUCUUAUGCAUAUAUAAUCUGAAUGCAGAAGAAUUUGAAAGUUUGGUGUAUUUGGCAGGAGUGUUUUAUUGCGGACUAGCUGGAGCAGUGAAGGAGCACCAAGAUUUGGCAAAGGAAUUCUCUCAUAAAACCUCCACCAAAUUCUGUUUCCAUAAAGAAAAUUUCUAGAAAUUUACGUUUUCUGAUAUAAUGUAUUGUACACAUGGUGUGAGUUAAUAUUUUCUUUUACUGUAAAGUUAAAGUUAAAAACUCUUAAAUUAUCUACUUGUAAGUCAUCUCUUACUUUAAUUUCCGUUGGAAUGAAUCUUUUUCUUAAAAAUAAGGAUUUUUAAUGUUAAAAUCUCUCACUAAGUUUGUUUUGGAUAAAAACACUCAAACUAAUUAUUUGACGAAAAAAUCCUCAAACUAACUUUAUUUAACGAAUUAAACUUUUGCAGAUCAUAAUUAUCAUUACUACCGGUAAAUCUUUAUUUUAGGGGUUUUUACAUUAAAUAAACAUAACUGAGGGGUUUUACCAUUAAAAUUAUCUAAAAAUUUACAUGUAAUAAAAUUACUAAAAGACUAAAAAUGUAAAAACAAGAAAAUAUAAUAUAUAACUUAUAUCAUAUCUAACAAAAAUGUAAUAAUAAAUCUUUAGAUAAUUUGUAUUAUAUUUUCUCGGUUUUUAUAUUAUUAAUUUAUACAUAUAUAAUGUUGAUGUUAAAAACACAUCAAACUCAUAUAUUUAUUAAAAAAAUGCUAAUUUUGAAAAAUUAAGUUACUAAUUUUUAGAUAAUAUUAUAAAAAAAUUAAUUUUUUUGGUUUUUAGAUUUUUAAUGGUAUAACCCCUUAACUAUGUUUACACAAUGCAUAGACCCCUCAACUAUGUUUACUUAAUGUAGAACCCCCUAAACUAAAGAAUUAUCGAUAGUAAUGGUAAUUAUGACCUGCUAGAGUUUAAUUCAUUAAAUAAAGUUAGUUUGAGAUUUUUUUCGUUAAAUAUUUAGUUCGAGUGUUUUUACCCAAAAUUAAUUUAUGAUAGUUAGAUUUGGCCAGAGGAGUUAGGUAUGGGGGGUUUUACCGAAAUCCCGACAUUAGCUCGAACCGGAAAAAAAAACUGAAACCUGAUCUGAAUGUUAUAUUUAAAUGGCAUUUAAGAUCUAUUUAUUUUUGGGUCCAGAUACAAUCCAAAACGAAAUCCUAAAUAGAAUCUGAAAAUAGCUUAAAUUAGUUAAAAUUUUUAAUCUUUUUAUAUAUAUGCUAAGGAAAAAUUCACAGGACCAGGUAGUCAGUUACAUAUUUCAUGAGGUACUUCAAAAUAUAUAUGUAGGCUGUAACUGUAGACUGUGGAUGGAUUUUUGGAAUAAGUAUUAUACUGUAUAUAAAUUUAUAUUUAACUAACUCAUAAUACAUUAUAAUCAACGGGAAAUUAGUGAAAUGUCACUACUAAAUGAUAAUUUCAAAACAAUCCCCAAAAAUUUGUUAAGAAAUAUAUGUUUUCAGAAAUACUAUUCUAUGAAUUAGUUUAUAUGAAAUGCUUUUAUAAGUUUAUAAACAUUAAUAAUUUUACUUUAUUUUCAUUGUCACUUUAUAAGAAAUUAUAUAUAUAUAUAUAUACAUGUUAUACAAUUUAAAAAAGAUUUUGGUAAUGUUUCUUGUAAAACUCUAUAUAUGACUUUAAAUUAUUUUUAUAACUUGAUUUGUUAAAAAUAAAAUUUAAUUUUACAAAUGAUCACAAGCGCAUAAAACUCGUAUUUUUUGAAAAAAAUGAUAUUUCGGAGACAGUAUCAUAAAAAUUAUUUAUUGUUAAUUGUAUAUUACAAAAGUAACAAAACCAGCUGAACAUUUCACAAGAAAAUGUCUUUUUAACAUGCCUGAAUAUAUAUGCUAUUUGACUGAACUGUGUAACAAAUAUACAUUUGAACUGUGUAAGAAGUUUUAUUGAUCUUUUUGUGGAUGGUCAGUGAGACGAUGGCCAGGUAUUUAGUUUCAUUCAUCCUUUAUAUAUUAAUUGAAAAUCAUUACAACAUUUUUUUUGUAGCCACAUGUCAUCAUAAGAAUGAUUCUUAGAAUCCUUAGAAAAAUAUGUUGGUUCAUCUAAAUAUAUACUAAGCUUUUUAUUAAACUAAUCAUAAAUACAUUAAAACUCUAUUAAAGUUUUCAAGCUUUGUUUUCCGGAUCUGAAGCUGAUGACACCUGUUAUUACUCUCGUGGUCACAGAUGCUCAGUCGCAGGUUGUCGGAACUGUUCUCUUCUCCGGGGGUUCCUGGAAGGCUUGCACUUGUGCAAGUUCACCCUUUCACCUUGGUCUCUAUACUGGGAUACUCUCUCUUCUAAGUUCCAGAUCUAUCCGUCUAAACCUUCGUUGCUCCUUAUCUAUGCUCGGAAAACGGUAUGCCGUUCUUACCGUUGACGGCAGCUCAGCCUCUCACGUGGGUGCAGAUCUCGACUUAAUGUGGUCCUUCUCGAGUGCUAAUCUUCUAUCCGGCGAUUGCGUAACUGACGUCAGCCCUUCAACUCUCUCAGUUUGGUCCUGGCCCAAGAUAAAAUUUCAUGUUGUAGAUGUAGAUCUGGUCAUCGGUGGUUGUGGGGUCUCACUUCUAUCACGGCGACCAGAGCUGGAGUCACGAGACCCGUUCUCCAUCUUCAUUCCGGAAGUGUUUUGUCUUGGCAGUCACCCCCUCUGCCCCGACGAGGACUAUGGACCUUCUCCGAUCUGUCUCAUUAGUCAUCCCAAACCUUCUUUGUCAGGGCGAGCAAGUUUUGCGAGUUUCGACGACUGGGGGAUCCCACCGCGAAGACGACCUGCAGCUAUACACACUAACGACUGCUCAUCCUCUUUAAGCUUGUUAAGCUUCAUAGACCUGAGGCUCAACUCUGUUUUGGGUAAACUCUCUUGGCUCCAAUACAGUAAUGUUGAAGCGGAAAGUUCAUGCAUGAGCUCAGUUAUUGCCUUCAUGGAAUCCAUCGUUAAGCUCAAUCCUCUUUCAGCCAGUGUGAAGCCACAAAUGGCAGGAUCAGAAGGAUAUACUUUCCUCCUUGGUGCAAUCUUUGGAGGUUUUCCAAAAUGUUCAAGCAUAGCUCACCAUCAAAGUUCAACUCCAACAAGAGCAAAUACCAAGGGAUUUCUAUUCUUAAGUUGGAGUCUAUCAAAGCUUGAAGAUUGUAGUCCCUUAGCAUUUUUCUUAAUAAAGGCUAGCCAAAAUUCCUCAUGUCGGGGCCAUGAGAGACCUCUUUCAACCAUCCUCCGCUUUGUUGGAGUGAUAACUUCCAUCAAAACCCCUCUUUGUGAGAAGGACUCUGUCUUUGGCUAUGUAGUCAAUGAACUUUGUCGAUAUCCUGACCGUUUGAUGCCUUAUGUGAUGGUUCGUUUGGAACCGGAAGGCACAACGAUACUCAUUCCUAUGAGAAUCGAGGUUACGGAGCACUUAACGUCACGAUAUACGGUGACUAUUUCCGUUGAAAAACUUGAAGGACGACGUAAUCUCUUUAGGAGGUUACUAGUUUGUGGCACCUUUGAACUUUCUUUUGACUUGUUAUCAGGCUUGUCAAAGCUUGUGUCGCUAUCUUUGUAUUGCCUUAUAUUAAAUGUAUUCAGUAGAAUCGCACAUCUACUGUUGGAUGUUGCUUUUAUCUUUGUAAUCGGCGGAAGUUUAUGAAUGAAAUAUGUUGUGUUCAAAAAAAAAACCAUAAAUACAUUAUUAAUGUGUUUCAUUAUUUCCUUAAAUAAAAUUACAGAAUUGCUUAAUGUGGCUAAAGUAUAUAUGACAAUUAAUGAUUUUGAAUAAUAAAAAUUUGAUAAAAAAUAAGUGUAUCUUAUAUUAUAUUUUUUUAAUUUUAAACUAUUAAAAUAAAUUAAACAACCAUAUUAACCAUAUAAUAAAAUUUUAGAUUUUCUGUAUAUGUUAUAUUUUGAAUUUUUUAAAACGAGUAUAAAUUACUAAAACUGUUAAAAGUCUCACAUUCAAGUUUUGUGAUCCAUGAUUUAAAAUUUUUGUUAUGACAUGAUACAAAUGAUUACAAAAUCACAUAAGUCGAAAGUCUCAUUUAAAAAGUAUUAAAAUUAAAAGAUAUAUAAAUAUAUAUAUAUCAUUUUAAAUUAAACUAUAUGCCAUAUAAAAAUACAUAAAUAUUCUAAUUUUGAAAUAUACUUUGAACAAAAAACAGUUUUUUUUUUUUUUUUGUAACUGUGGUUCAGGUUUUUUACUUUUCCAAUAAAGGAGAUGUUACAGGUUGUAAAGUCAAAUACGUUGGUUUACCCCUCCAAAGAAAAUUCUAUUAUUAUAUUCUUGCUAUUUUAAAAUUUACCUAAAGUUUUUGUUUUGAAACACUUUUUGAAACACAAAAAUAAUUUACCUAAACUACAUAUUAUGUUUGAAUGUAAAUUUGCUAGAAACAACUAUAAGAGAAUUAAGUUAAAAAAAACAACUAUAAGAGAAUUUUCAUAAUGAGAUAUGUCAUUAUUGUAGACGGGUUUCGAAUGCUAUAAUUCAUGAAAACUCAUAAUUCAUAUUAUAAAGAUGUAAAUGUAAUGAUGUGAUAGUUGUCUGAGUAACGCUCAUAUUUUUUUAAAAGGUCAAGUCAAUGUUCAAAACAAAAAUAUUCCAUAUUCUUUUACAACUAAUUUCUUGUAAGUGAUUGGAGAAUAGAAAAUGCUAUGUGGGUUGAGUACUUAACUAAAUUAAACGACCGAUUAAUUAGUUAAAAAUGACUUACAUUUCGAUGAUUGAAUAGAUGCAGUUAACAUAAGGUAAUAUAAUAAUAUCUGAGGAUAAAAAAAUAAAUGAAAAUUUGAAUAUGCUGAUCAUAUUUUUAUGAUAUGUAACGUGGGCAAUCCGCGGGAGAUCGACUUGAUCACGAAGAAAUUACAAAAUAAGGUUUGCAUAUAAUAUUCAGUAGCUCAUCUCUUUCGUUUUCACCAUUCUAAAACUAUUCGCUCAACAUUGCUUAUUUAUAUCAGACGCGCAAACAUCUCUAAAGACAGAAGUUGAAACUAAAGUUUUCUCAAGAAAGAAAAAAAAGAGUUGAGUAGUCCAACUAACAUGCAAACGGUAGGGUUUUGAAGGAUAUGUGAGUGAAAUAUUGAUUGGUGAUCAUGCUCCGUAGUGGAUAUAACCAGUUCUUCUAUGUAAUGAUAAAAAUAAUCUGUAAUGGGUUCUUCGUGUCACGAAUUAUCUGCGUGAAGGGUUUUUGUUUCCAUAUCGAAACGUGACUGACGGUGAUUGGAAAUUUGGAAUAGCUAGUGGUUAUAUUAAAAUAACAUACACGUGUUAUUUAUUAGUAUUUGUCUUUGUCGCUGUCGUGUAUGUGUUUGAAAUUUUGUAACUUUUCUAGAAAGAAGAAAUGAGAAAAUGCGUGUGUAUAGAAUUUGCUACGCAUUUAAUUAAUCGUGUCUGCUGCGAGUUUUGUGGGUGGGGAUUUACUGCACUGCGUUUGACUUUUGACUUAAUGCUUCGAAUGGUAAAAGCAGUUCAAGCGGAACAGAUCAAGCAGAUCAUGAAGAUCAAGCAGAACAAGUGCAGAUCAAGCGGGACAAGUGCAGAUCAAGCGGAUCAAGCAGGAGAGAACCAGAUCAAAUAAUUUAUUAUAACUUAUGAAUGACAAAACGAGUUUAACACUAUAGAUCAUAUAUUAAAACAAAAAAUGACACUUAGAUAUCUAAACAAAUAUCUUAGAUGUUAUAGAAUCGGCUGAAAUGUAUGUAAAUGUUUUAUAAGAUACUUAUACUUCUUUUAUUUUCUUAUUUAUAAAAAUUAAAAAUUAUAUGACAAAAAAUAAUAAGUAGAAAAUGAUAAUUUUGUAUUGUUAAAAUUGUAAAUAAAAUAAAAUAAAAAUAUUGUAUUAAAAAAUAAUAUGUAGAGAAUGAUAAUUUUAUAUUGUUAAAGUUGUAAAUGAAAUAAAAUAAAAAUAUUGUAUUCAUAAAACUAGAUAAAUAUAUUUUUAAAGUUAUGUGUUGUAAUAAAGUUAUUUAUUGAUCAAACAAAAAAAAAAGCAGACCAACACCACUAAAUGUUGGCGAGUAAGAUCUGCAUGCAGAUCUCCUGUUUUUUUACAAAAAGACAAAAACUAUUGAACUGCAUACAGAUCUCCUGCUUGAACUGCUUUUACAAACAGAAAAUGGUGAAUGGUGAAUGCAGUGCGAAAGAACUGCAAUAAAAUAAUUUAUAUAUAUAAUAUUCAUCGCGCGCAAGGCGCGGGUCUUAAUCUUAUUAUUAUUUGUGGUUACUCAUUAGUCCUAUCCAAUUAUAGUUAAUUUCUCUUGUAACCAACUUUCCCAUUUUAACACAUCUACAGGUUUUUAUAAAACUCUUGGUAAGGUAAACCUUGUUUAGGUACAUUAUUGUAGAUUUGUAAUGUACGGGUUUCCAAUGCUAGUUAUUCAUAUUAUGAAAGAUGUAAAUGCAAAGCUGCGCUGUGAUUUCUCUGCGUAGCGUGUCCAUAUUUUAAAAAAGGUUAAGUCAAUGUUCUAAACAAAAAUAUUCCAUAAUUCUUUUUAAACUAUUUUUUUGCAAGUGAUUGGAUAAUAGAAAAUGCUCUGUAGGGUCCGUACUUAUUUAAAAUGACCGAUUAAUUAGUUAAAAAUGACUUACAUUUCAAUGAUAACAGUAGGUGCAAUUAACGUGAGCUAAUAUAAUAGUAUCAGGCGAUAAAAACAAAUGAAAAUCUGAAUAUGCUGAUCAUAACUUGUAUGAUACGCCUGUCAUAUUGGUCGUGGCCAAACCGCGGGAGACUUGGCCACGAAGAAACUACUAACUAAGAUUUCAAUAUAAUAUUCAGUAUACCUUCGCUCAGCGUAGCUUAUUUAUAGCAGAUGCACAAAGCAUCUCUAUAAGACAUAAACUGAAAUAAGAGUUGAGUAGUCCAAGUAACAUGCAAACAUCAGGGCUCAAAAAUGCGACAAUAUACAGAAGACAGUCGUUGAAGAGAACUGGUUACGAGGAAGGUCAUAAAGAGCACACAGAGAUCACGGUCAAUACCAACGAAGAAUGCAACAGCUUGAAGCCAUGCGAGGAUCCUCAGAAGUCACUUCUGAGACAGGGCCAUUCGAUGAAGAAUAGUGUCUCGGUACUGAAACGCAUAGGGUCAACAGUUACUACAACUGUUGCUUCUUUGGCUUCGUUGACGCCGGAGACAAAACCAACGCGUAGGCGGCUGAAAUCCAGCACAGAGCUAGCGCUCAAUGGUCUCAAGUUCAUUACCAAGGCUGAUGGCGUCGCUGGUUGGCCUCGUGUUGAGAAAGAUUUCGAUAGGUUAACCGAGACGACCGGUGGUUCAUUGGACCGUUCCAAGUUCGGUGAAUGUAUAGGUAAGCAUUAACCUCAAGCUGAAACACUUAAUGUGGUUGGAUAAGUUUCCAUUUGGAUUUGGUGAACUUUUGCUGCAGGGAUCAAGUCAAAAGAGUUCGCAGAAGCACUGUUCGACGCCUUAGCAAAGAGGCAAAACAUAACUGGACAUGUAAUAAGCAAGGAUCAGCUGCAAAUAUUCUGGGAGAAGAUCAAUGCUCCGGACUUUGAUUCGAGGCUACGAAUUUUCUUUGACAUGUAAUGUUUCUUGAAACCCUUUUUUAUUCUUGAUUCCUUUAUUAUUAUGAUCCAACACCAACUCUUUAAGUCUCAUAUGUCUGAAUUGUGUUCAGGGCCGAUACGGAUACUGAUGGGAGGUUGAGUAAAGACGAAGUAAGAGAGGUAGACUUUUGAUUCUCAUUGUUAGAAAAAUCUAGAAGAUCUUUGUAAUCUUUGUCGUAAAUAGGUUUCCCUCUUCAUGUACAGAUUAUAGCUCUAAGUGCCUCUGCCAACAAACUGGAUAAGAUUGAAAAACAAGCACGUGAAUAUGCUACUUUGAUUAUGGAAGAACUAGAUCCCUAUGAUCGUGGGUACAUCAUGGUAUGUUUCUGUGAACUGAUGAUAUUUAUUUUGUGAGUGUUUUUCUAACGUGUUUGGAGGCACUUUCUACAAUGCCAAACAGAUAGAGGCUCUCGAGGUACUGCUGUUGCAAGGGAAUACUAAGGCAGUGAGCGAUUUGGUAAGUCAGCAGGUCGAAGUAUCACAGAGUAGGAAUCUCUGGAAGCGUUUGUACAAUGGGGUUAAGUAUUUUGUGUUGGAUAAUUGGAAGAGAUUGUGGGUGAUGGCUCUAUGGAUAGCUGUUAUGGCCGGGCUGUUCACGUGGAAGUUCAUGGAGUAUCGAAAUAGACCGGCUUACCAAGUUAUGGGAGCUUGUGUUUGUAUAGCUAAAGGAGCUGGAGAGACACUUAAACUGAACAUGGCCAUUAUUUUGUUACCAGUUUGUAGGAACACCAUCACUUUGCUCCGGACCAAAACCAAGUUAGGUGUUGUUGUUCCUUUCGAUGAUAACCUCAACUUCCACAAGGUAACUUUAGCUUCCUGGAGUAUUGUUAUCAACUAAUGCAAAUCAACUUGAAGAAAGUAAAGAAACUUAAAGAGCAAAAAAAUUGAGGCAAAUACUCAUUUAUGGUUUGUACAUUGAUUAUGUGAAUAAAUAAAUUUACAAUCUUUUAGAUCCGUAUUUAUAGCUACCUCAAAAAUAAAAAAUUCUUUUUUUCUUUAUGAAAACAUCUUUAUUUAGAAAACGUAAAUUUCCUAAAUCUAGAUGCAAACCACUUAUGGUUGAAUCUUAUACAGGUCACAGCAAUAGCAAUAUCAAUCGGAGUUGGACUCCAUGCCACAUCUCACUUAGCUUGUGAUUUCCCUAGGCUGAUAGCUGCAGAUGAAGAAACGUAUAAGCCAGUGGAGCAGUAUUUUGGAGUACAGCCAAAGAGUUAUGUGCAGUUUUUGAAGUCAGUGGAAGUAGUUACCGGGACUGUCAUGGUUAUAUUAAUGACCAUAGCCUUCACAUUGGCUACAUCAUGGUUCAGAAGAAAUAAGUUGAAGUCUCUUCCUGAACCAUUGAAGAAAAUAACUGGCUUCAAUGCCUUCUGGUACACUCACCAUUUGUUUGUUAUCGUCUACACACUCCUAGUCGUUCACGGAUACUAUGUCUACCUCAUCAAAACAUGGUACAGGAAGACGGUUAGUAACUUAUUAAUCACUAGACCCAAUGUACAAAGUUGUAGCAGAUGAAACAAGUACUCUAUGAUUUUGGUUUUCAUUUGAUUUAAUAGACUUGGAUGUACUUGAUGAUACCGGUGGUUCUUUACCUGUCUGAAAGGCUGGUUCGUUCGCUCAGGUCAAGAAUCGAAUCUGUUAAGAUACUAAAGGUGGAAUUUAUAAACAUUUGUCUGUUAAAAUAUUCAUAUUUACUACAUACUUACCUUAAAUUUUCAACAGAUUGCUGUGUUACAAGGAGAAGUCUUAUUGCUUCAAAUGUCAAGACCAAACAACUUCAGAUACAAAAGCGGACAGUACAUGUACCUCAAAUGUUCUGAUGUGUCUUCAUUAGAAUGGUACUAUAACACAAAUACUCAUAUUAUUUGUAUAGAGACAAACUGAAAAGUGGUUUGCAUAUAAACUGCAGGCAUCCAUUCUCAAUUACAUCGGCUCCAGGAGAUGAUUACCUUAGUGUCCACAUCAGGGAUCAAGGAGACUGGACUAACAAGUUACGAUCAACAUUCUCUGAUGUACGUCACUCCAUUUUUUUUCCUUUUCAUAAAACACUAGAGAUUAAGUGGGUCCAACUAUGUAAGUUCAUUUGUAUGGAUCUGAUCCUCAGGUGUGUUCCCCGGCCAUCCCUGGUAAAAUGAGCGAGCGUAGAGCCGACUUGUGGAACGGGGAUAACCUUUUGUAAGUCUUUUCAAUAAGUUAUUCACUGAAACAUAUUCAAUUUUUACAGUUUUCACUCAUAAUACAAAUAUAAUAAAUAUUCACAACUAACCAUAUUAUUUAUCUACAUUAUACACUUUAUAAUAAUUAUCAACCAUAAUAUUUAAUCAGUUCAACGAUUUUUAUUCAAUAUUUCUUAAAAACUACAAUUUAUUAUUACUAAUUAAUGAAAAAUACUUUAAAAUUUUAGAAAACCUAUAUUUAUGAAAUAAGAAAAAGAUCGAAACAAUUUAUCUUUCGGAAAUGGAAGGAAUAUAAUAUUAUAAUAGAAGGGGAGCAUCAUUAACCCCAAGAGCCAAUUUUGGGGUCUUAAUGAUUUUUUAGUAAUUAAUGAAAGUUAAGAGUUUAUACUUAAGAGACACGUUUUUUUGUAACUUUAAUGGUAAGUUCUUAAUUUGGGGUUCUUAAAAAAAAAUGAUUAAACUUAAUUAUUUUUAAGAUUAAUUAUAAUUAUUAAAUAAAACAUAUUAAAAUAAAACAUUUUAAACAUUAAUUUAAUACAAAACAUUAAAACAAAAUAAGUAAAAAUCACGAUAAUAAUUUGAAAGAUACAUCCGAGCUCAGUUGUCUUCAUAAAUGUCCGAAUUUAGUCCACAUAUGUUCAACCAAAUCAGCUUUUAGUUGUUCAUGCAUUGGGUUAUCACGAAUUCUAGUUCGAGCAUCCAUCAUAUUGGCGAUAUUUGUAGGCAUUUCCCUAUCAAAAUCGAGAUCGACAUGUGAACUUCCGGUGCCUUCUUCUUGUUGGAACUCUUUAAGAUUAUAUUGAGUGUAUCCAUCUCGUUCGUCUUCUACUAUCAUGUUAUGGAGUAUGAUACAUGCUCUCAUAAUCUUCCCAAUUUUGACUUUAUCCCAAAAAAGUGCCGGAUUUUUAACGAUGGCAAAGCGAGCUUGCAAGACUCCAAAAGCCCGCUCGACAUCUUUUCGGACAGCUUCUUGUUGUUUAGCAAAUAAAGCUGAUUUUGGGUCUUGUGGUAGUGAAAUUGAUUGGAUAAAAGUAGCCCAUUUCGGAUAAAUACCGUCGGUGAGAUAGUAAGCCAUGUGAUACUCUCUUUCAUUGACAUAGAAGGUGACUUGCGGAGCUUGACCAUUAAUUAUGUCAUCAAAAACAGGUGAACGAUCAAGAACAUUGAUAUCAUUUAAGGUACCUGGAGUUCAAAAAACGCAUGCCAUAUCCAUAGAUCAUACGAAGCAACCGCCUCCAAAACGAUUGUUGGUUUUCCCGAGCCACGUGAAUAUUGCCCUUUCCAAGCGGUGGGACAAUUCUUCCACUCCCAAUGCAUACAAUCGAUGCUUCCUACCAUCCCGGGAAAUCCACGAGCCUCACCAACAUCAAGUAAACGUUGAAGAUCAGUCGGUGUUGGUCUUCUUAGGUACUCCUCGCCGAAUAAAUAUAUUAUGCCUUCCACAAAAUGUUCCACACAUGACCGAGUAGUAGUUUCACCGAGUCGGAGGUAUUCGUCAACAGCAUCAGCCGCAGUACCAUAUGCCAAGACACGAAUGGAUGCUGUACACUUCUGGAGUGGGGAGAGACUAUUCCUUCCAAGUGCAUCUUGCGUUUGUUGAAAGAAUUCAACCUCAUUGGAGAAUCGAUCAACAAUAUGCAUGAACAAUCGCUUGUUCAUUCUAAAUCGUCGUCGGAAGAAAUUUUCAGGAUAUGUUGGCGUUUCACUGAAAUAGUCAUUCCAUAAACGUAUGUGCCCUUCUUCACGAUGUCUUUCGAUAUAAGCCCGUUUUUUUCUUUGUUUCCUACCUUCUUCUUGAUGACGCAUGGAUAAAGUCUCAAAGGCUUGAUUAAAAUAUUGAUUAAAGUAAUCAUCAAGUGAAUCUUCAAAAUUAUUUUCUGAAGAAGAUGCCAUGUUUGUGAUUUGGUUUGAUCUUGGUUUGGUAAGAACAGAGAAUGUGAUUUGGGUUUGGUAAGAAUACGGGAAGAGGGAAUAUAAGUGUUGAUAUGAAGCUUGGUUUACACGGGAAUAGGGAAUGUGAUUUGGUUUGGUAACAAAGCUUGGUUGUUUCGUUUGGUAAUUAGAGAGAAAGAGAGAACAAAGCUUGGUUGGUUGGUUUUGUUGUGAUAUGUGAACGAGAGAGUGAGAGAUGCUUGAAGGCUUUAUACUACUUGAAAUUGAUUUUAAUACAAAGACAGUCACGGGAACUAGAAAGAGAGCAAAGACAAAAUACAAAAGUCCUUACAAGUCCAUGUGACAUAAGAAACAAAGACAUGUGAAACAAAGACAAUGCAAAAAGAAAGACAAUGCAGAGACAUGUGAAACAAAGACAAUGCAGACACAAAGACAAAGACAAUGCAGACACGGUCACGGACUCAGUACAACAAAGCUGAUCCAUGUGAGAGAAAGACGGUCACGGACUCAGCCUCUUCUCUUCCUCUUACCAUCACCCGUAGAGGAUUGUCCUUCUUCUAGCUUGAUUCCCGCCUUCAACACCUUGAACCUCUCCUCUGUCAGCCUCUUCUCUUCCUCAUGCAUCAUUUGCACCAUCCUUCUGAACUCAGGUGCAAUGUCAUCUUCUUCUUCCUCCACCCUAAUCAAGUACCCCAUACUUCUCCUGUAUUCAUCGCUUGAUAACUCCACGAUAUCGUCUUCUUCUUCAUCUGAUAUCUCCACCACUUCUGCUUCAGUUGGUGGGAUAUCCUCAACAUCAUCGUCUGUAUCUUCUCGUGGGAGAGGUGGUAUGAUGCCUCCUGCUGAGAGGCCACAAAUAAUUGGUUUUCUUGCCUCCAUUUCUGUAUGUGUGUCACUUGUUCCCCUGAAAAGCCAAAAAACAGAAACAGAUGAGAAAAGACAAUACAUAUAAAUAACAUAUCAAUCUAGAUAACACAUCAACUUAUAUAAGACAAUACAUAUAUAUAACACAUCAAUUUCACAGCAACAUUGAUAGCAUUGACUAGAAAUAUCUUACAUAAAAACACUCGAGGUUAAAGGAUUACAUUAACAUUUCACUAAUCAGUUUAUUCUUAAGAGCCACUUCUAAUUCAGUAAGUGGCUCUGUUCUCGCAAGCAAACUGUCAAGCAGUUUGGACUUGUUAACCUUAUCCUUCAUAUUCAGUAACUGGAUCUGUUCUUGCAAGUCCUUCUGCUUGAGCUCCCACAUUUGCUGAAACCCUUGCAGAAUCUUCUCUUCUUCUCCCACUGCCCUUUUACCCUUGUUGGCUUUUGCUGCCUUAACGCCAAUAGGCCUAGCUGUUGGAGAAGCCUCUCCAUUGACACUCGGCAUAGAUGUUGAUGACUGAAAAGAUUGUUGUUCCCCCACCCUCUUUCUUUUUGCACCAGAACUUUGUUGACUACUUCCAUAAGUCCCACACCAUUUUUGAUCAUUCCUAAGCUCCCGCCAGGCAUGCUCCAAUGUGAACUUAACCGUGUAGUCGUUGAAAAAAAUUUCAUGUGCAGCCUUCAAAACAUCAUCUUCAUUCUGGCCACUGCUCUUCUGUUUGGAUGCAGCGUCAUAUGACCCCACAAACUUGCAGACACCUUCAUUUAUCUUUCCCCACCUUUGCUUACAGUGGCUUGGCUCUCUCUUAGUGAAACCAACCACCUUCGGACUUGCAUUAUAAUAAGAGGCAAUCCUCUUCCAAAACGUUCCUGCCUUUUGCUCAUUCCCAACUACUGGAUCCUUGGAGGUGUUAAGCCAUGAACUGAUGAGGACCAGAUCUUCAGCUGUUGACCACUUACACCUUUGCUUACGCUCCUCACCAGUUUGUGCACGUGAAGAAUAUCCUCCAACGGCUGGACUAGGUAACUGAGAUGGGUUUUCAUUGGCUGGACUAGGUGAAAAACUCAGUAACUGAGAUGGGUUUUCAUUGGCUGGACUAGGAGAAAAACUCAGUAACUGAGAUGGGUUUUCAUUAUUAGGUAACUGACUGGUUAGUAAGUCUAAAAAGCUAGAAGAUUGCCUUUGAGAAUCCAUAGGGAGGAGAAUGAUGAAGAACGAUGAAGGAGAUGAUAAGAAAGUGAAGGAGGAAUUUAUGUUUAUAGAUUGCAGAGAAGGAAGAGAAGAAAUGAAGUUUCAGAUGCAUUGAUGACAACCAACAAACAAGUUCACAUUUAUCUACUACAUUCACUUCUAGCUAGAUGGCAGAGAAAAAACGAGUUGACAUUUACCUACAAACUACACUUCUAUUAAUCACAUAACCAUUUUCUAUCUAGCCAUCAAUUUUGUUUAUCACACAACCAUUUUCUAACUCAAACCAACACAUUUAUUACACUCGAUUCAAUUCAAACCGGAACUUAAAGCAAUUAGUUUCCACAACCAAAAAACAGAGUAACACUAACCUUAAUUUUGCUCUGAACCUUUGGUCGAUGAACCUUGAUCCUGCUAUAUGUAAACAGAAAGACAGAAACAAAAAGUAUUUCAUACAAAGAAGCCAAACAACUAACAAAUCAAGCGUAAUCAAUCUAUUAUAAUGCAAUCUAUUACAUAGCAUUAACCAUUCCUGAUCCAUCUGUCUUAAAACAGUUUGUUCUUAAUUGAAACAAACUUAUUCAAACAAAAUGUUCUUCAUCCAUCAAUCUUAAAACGAAACAUACCGAAUCAAAAACAUCAGAAACAACAAUUAAAAUCUUCGAAUCAACAGAGCAUGCAGAUUCUAAAUCAUUCACAUGCAAAAUCCAUAGAAGAACUGCUUAACCUUUCAAUUUGAGAUGAGCCACCGAGUGAAAUCUUGGAGGAAAAGACCCACCGAGAGACAAAACCAACAAACUACAAAGAAAAACAACCGAUCAGACCAAGAAAAUGCUUAAUCUAAGACAUGCAAAACCAAUAACAGAACAACCACUUACCUUUCGAUUUGAGGAGAGGAACCGAGAGAGAGCUCCGACGCCUCGAGGAGAACCAGCGAGAGAGAGGUCGCCGACGGGAGCCACUGAACGAGACGUCGCCGAGACAGCGCCGACGAGAGCCACCGAAGGAGAACCGAAUCGCCUUUCGCAGAGAGAGAUUUUGAGAGAGCUUUCGAGAGAGAGAGAGAGAGAGAGAGAGGGAGAGAACGCGUUCGUAACCGAAGAAAGAGCGUCUCUACGCUUGACGCGUGUCAACGAAGAGGCGGGCCUUCUACGCCUUACGGAAGAGGCGAGUCUAUGCUUUUCUUCUUUUUUUUAUUAUUUUUUUUAAAUUUUGCCUUAAGAGGCGUCAUUAACCCCUGCGUUAAUGAUGGUCUUAAACUGCUUUAACUUUGAACUGUUAAAGCAGUAGCUUUCCAAAACUCGUAAUCGACGGUCCAUAUGGAGCGCCAUCACAAGACUACAAGAACUUCGAAGUUGUUCUACUAGUGGGUCUAGGAAUCGGAGCUACUCCUAUGAUCAGCAUUAUCAAGGACAUAAUCAAUAACUUGAAAGUCAAUACUGGAGAUGAAGAAGAAGGAAGAGGCAGUAACCGGAACCACAACACGGUAACACCUCCUUCUAUUUCUCCUGCAAGAAAAAGCGAGCUAUUCAGAACCAAGAGAGCAUACUUCUACUGGAGCACAAAAGAGCAAGGAACUUAUGAGUGGUUCAAGAGCGUGAUGGACGAAGUAUCCGAAGCAGAUGUUAACAACGUUAUCGAGCUGCAUAAUUACUGCACCAGCAUCUUCGAGGAAGGAGACGCGAGGUCCGCACUGAUCACGAAGCUCCAGUCACUAAACCAGGCCAAGAAUGGAAGGGACGUUGUGUCAGGGACCCGUGUCAUGUCCCAUUUCGGUAGACCAAAAUGGAGGAGCAUUUACGAAAGGAUCUCCGUGAAGCAUCCCAACACUAGAGUCGGUGAGUUUCUUCGCCCAUCUUAUCUUAUUGCUUCUUAUGCAUAAAUAGCUUGAGUGCGAAAAAAAUGUGAAAAUCUGGUGUAUUUGGCAGGAGUGUUUUUGUGACACCCGCCACUUUUGGAAUAUAAUAAAUUGAUAAAAGCGAAAAUAAUAAUACAACUCAAAUAAUAAUAAUCUUCAUAUCAUAAUAUAAAAGUCAAUAUGUUUCCAAAAGGCCUAAAAGCCCAACACCGAUAACAUUCGAAAUAUAAAAUACGACAUAAACCGAAAGUCUGAAAUAGGAAUAACAUAAACGAUAAAAGUCCAAAGGCCUAAAGGCCCGAUAAAGAUAAAAGCGGUAAAAGCGAUAGAAGCCCAAAAGCCCAAUAGCACCGGUCUGAUAAUCACUCCUGCUCAUCAGAAUCACCUAAAAGGGGAAAGAAUGAGGGGUGAGCGACAGGGGAAUCGCUCAGCGAGGUAUGGGAUGCUACCCCGAAGUCCAUGGACCCGGACAUAGCACUCCGAAUAAAUAUAAUUUAAUUCUAAUGCAUGUCAAACACAGUACCUAAAGUACUCAAGCAACAAACAAUGGUCCUAGCGAGGUGCGCACUCGCCGCCCACUAACAGGCCAACACACUACCGAAAAGGUGCUCGGUUCCGGUUUAACAAUCAAUAUCAAUAACGAACAACCAAGACUCUCAAAUGAAGCUUUGCGUAAGCAGAUCGAGAUGGAGAGUAUUGGUUUUCAUACAGCCACCAACGGGAUGUUCAUGUAUCGAAGCAGGAUUUGUGUGCCCAAUGAUGAGUUGUUAAGAAAGGAGAUAUUACGGCAAGCACACCACUCGAGUUUCUCGAUUCAUCCAGGAAAUACCAAGAUGUAUAGGGAUCUGAAGCGAUAUUACCAUUGGCCUGGUAUGAAGAGAGAUGUUGCUUCAACUGUAUCGCAAUGUCAGACGUGUCAGAUGGUUAAAGCCGAGCAUCAGGUUCCUAGCGGGUUAUUACAAAACCUGCCAUUACCGGAGUGGAAAUGGGACAUGGUAACUAUGGAUUUUGUGACGGGUUUGCCGACUACAUCAGGAGGGAAGAAUGCCAUAUGGGUAGUCGUGGAUAGACUUACGAAGUCAGCCCAUUUUCUAGCAGUUAAGAAGACAGACAGAGCUGAUCAGCUAGCACAGACUUACAUCAGCGAGAUUGUAAGAUUGCAUGGAGUUCCGGUCAGCAUUGUAUCGGAUCGGGAUACAAAGUUCACGUCUGAGUUUUGGAGAGCCUUCCAAAAGGCGCUUGGGAUGAAAGUUCAUAUGAGUACGGCUUAUCACCCGCAAACAGAUGGUCAGUCAGAGAGGACUAUUCAGACUUUGGAGGAUAUGCUCAGAGCUUGUGUUUUAGAUUGGGAAGGUAGUUGGGUGAAGUAUCUACCUCUAGCCGAGUUUGCCUACAACAACAGCUAUCAUUCGAGUAUUGGGAUGGCACCAUAUGAGGCUCUAUUUGGUAGGCCUUGUCGCACCCCACUUUGUUGGACGGAAGUGGGAGAGCGACGUGAGAUAGAACCAGCCAUGGUUCAAGAGACAGUCGAACAGGUUGAGAUGCUCAAGAUGCGGCUUAAGGAAGCCCAUGACCGUCAGAAGAGUUAUGCAGAUAAACGGCGAAGAGAUUUGGAGUUUCAGGUUGGCGACCUGGUAUACCUAAAAAUGAGGACAUUUCAGGGAGGAUCUAAGACUCGGAAGCUAAAGAAGCUUAAACCGAGAUAUAUGGGACCAUAUCCUAUUUUGGAGCGAAUUGGAGAAGUUGCUUACCGAUUGGAUUUAUCCGAAGAGUUAUCAGAUUUCCAUGACGUGUUUCAUGUUUCUGUUUUGAGGAAAGUCGUGAGAGAACCGGAGCUCAUUUUGCAGCAGCCGCCCAGUGACCUUGGUAGGAAUUUGCGUGCGCCGUGUCAGCCAGUAGAGCUAUUGGAUCGCCAAGUGAGAGCAGAUGAUAGUAUGAUGACUAUGUUGGUCAAAGUUCGUUGGGAGAGAGAUGGUAUUCAAGAGGAGACUUGGGAGUCCGAGCCUCAGAUGAGGAUUGAUUAUCCAGAACUUUUUCGGGAUGAUGUUGGGCAGUAAGUUCUUGACUCGAAUUCGGGACGAAUUCCUUAUUAGUGGGGGAGAAUUGUCACGACCUAACUUCUCCACUCCACCAACUCCACCCAUUAACACAUCUAUUAAACCCACCUUCUCCACUAAUAACCUGCAAUCAAAAGAAAAGAAAAAAAAAUCAGAGAGAAGAGAAGAGUAGAGAAGAGAAGGGAAGAUAAAAGAAGAGAAGGGGAGGUGAGAAGAAGGAUUUGGAGAGGUUGAGGUCGUCACCGGAGUUCGUUAUAGCCUCUACGCCCCGUGACCGUGUUGAGCUCGCCACCACCGUUAAUCGCAGGUAACCACCGCGAAAAUCCCAUGAUUUAAGUUCAGUUUCGGUUCCGUUUAGUAAUUCACCCAUAACUUCCUAACCAUUGAUAAUCUCGUGCAUCCAAGCCCAUCAUCGUGUUCCUCUCGUCGAGACGAAGCCGUAGACACCAAGCACGCCUCAAACGGAGCCCGGACGAAGCCGUACGCGCCUCCAGAAAACCGCCCUUCGCGCGCGCGUGAAACGCACGCGCCGCCGCCGGAAAUCGUCGCCACCGCAGCUCCGCCGCCGGACCACCGUCCGCCGCCGCAGCUCCGCCGUCGCCGCCGGUCAACUUUCCGGUAAGCCGCCGCCGUAGCUCCGCCGUCGCCGCCGGUGACCGACACCGGUGACUCACCGGCGACUCGGUAAUCUCGGCCGAGUCAACUCAGUGAGUCAACUCGGUUGACUCGGUUAACCGGUUGGUUAGCCGGUUUAAAUUGAUUUCAAUUCGGUUAGGUUAAACCGGUCGGUUAAAAUCAAUUAGAAAUCGGUUAGGAUAAACCGGAUUAAUUAAUUAAUUAAUUAAUUAAAUAAUUAAUUAAAUAAUUGAUAUUUGACCAGCGGAUUGACUUUUCCGUAAAUACCCGUUUUAAACCGUUCGAAAGGCGUUCUGACUCGAAAUUUCGAUCUGAUUUCAGAUUUGGAGUCCAUUUGAGCAGCUGGAGUUCAUAGAUACCACCUCUUAUUGUUGCUAAGGUGAGGGUCUAUUCCCGAACUCCUCUUAUUCGGCUUAGGACCUCGAAUAAGUAUAAUUUAUUUCUAAUGUGUUCCGUCUGUGUGAAAUCGAGUCUGUCAUUGCUUGUUUAGUUUUAGGUUCUUUACAUAAACCGGAACUAGGGGGUUAGAGGAUUCAACAUUGAUUGUUUCACUUAAUGUAAAUUCUUAGCUAGGAUUGUUUUUGUUUGGAG
RNAcentral lists this long non-coding RNA (22378 nucleotides) under Brassica napus (rape). RNAcentral's name for it is "long non-coding RNA (BNAP_LNC015190)". The record is from RNAcentral. Lineage: Eukaryota; Viridiplantae; Streptophyta; Magnoliopsida; Brassicales; Brassicaceae.